UUUUCCUCUAGCAAAUCUACCCAGUAGUCAACCGUCCUUUUCUCUCUCUCACUGCCCCUCUAUUACACACAAAAAUACACAUAUAAAAUAUCGAUUUUGCAAGAUUCAAGGAGUUUGAAAAGGUUAGAGAGAGAUGCUCUCAAUUCUAGUGGGAGAAAGUUUCACUUGAAUGCCUUCUUCUCUUGCGUUUUGUCUUGUAUUUGAUCUGAUUUUACAUCCAUUGGUGGGAAUUGAUUAAAAUAUACUGCUUCUGGUUUGGAUUUUGCUGUUAUAUUAGUGAAAUUCGAACUUGCUCGUGGUUCUCUACGUGGUAUUCUUGGGAUUCAAUUUAUGCUACCGGUUGGAUUGAGGUGCUUCUCUUUUCAGUUAGGUCUCUCGGUUCCACGAUAUUUUCAGAUUGUUCUGGUCGGUUGUUCUGCAGAUUUUGGGUGGGUUCUUCCAGCUAAGGUGUGUAUUGAUCUGUGUCAGUUAUCUUCUUCGUGUUUGGCCACUUUCAGUUGCUUGGUUGUAGUACUUUGCUUCUUUUUUCUGGAUGGAUUAUUUGCAGAUUUUGGGGUGGUCUAGUCCAGCUCAGGGUCGCUUAAGUUUGAUUGUGGGUAAGAAGAAAGUUCAUCAGCUUCGGCCUAAAAAGCCAAUUGCGUCGGUCAAGAGGCAAACCGUUCCUCCAGUGGCUAUAGUAUCGUCUUCUAGGGUUCAAACACAACAUUCUCUGGAAGGUCAGAAUGUAACUUCUAAUGCUAUUGCUUCUAAUUUGCAUGCUCUUCAUGCUUCUUAAAAAUUUUGGAACGGAUUGUGUGAGGAUAGUAAUUCACCAAGUGUCUCCCAAACUCUUGGAGAAGAGGAUACAAGCUUUGAAAAUUCAAAUAAUGAACCUCUACCUGUUGUUCAGGAUGAUAAUCAUUGUAAAAGUGAUGAGAAUAAGGAUGCCCAUGCCCCUUGGAUAAAUUUAUUCAAAGAUGAUAGGAGUCCUAAUGAAGGUUUUAAAAUUGGUUCCAUUGAGGACCAACCUGAUGUUAUAACUUUGGAGGCUGUUGAUGUGGAUAAUGUGGAUGAUUCAUGGGGUUAUUGUAUUGUUGGUUAUUUUGCUGGCCGUUUUCGGGGAAAAGCAGCAUUGCUCCUUAUGUAUAACUCUUGGAAGGUUGAGUACCAAUAUUUUGUACAUAGAAGUGGGUGGUUGAUUUUCAAAUUUAAAGAUGAGGCAUCAAGGACUAGUGUGAUACAAGGUGCUCCUUACUUUGUAUUCGGUAGACUGCUAAUGCUUAAAGUUAUGCCCUGAUGUUUUGAAUUCUAUGAUAAAGAGGUAUGCACCAUUCCGGUAUGGGUGAAGUUACCAGGCCUUCCAUUGGAUUAUUGGAAUUCUAGAGCUUUGGCUAAAAUUGUAUCUAAGAUUGGGAAACCAAUCUCAAUGGACAAACUCACUGCUACUAAGGGCAGAAUCUCUUAUGCACGCGUGUUAGUGAAAAUUGAUGCCUCCAAGGAGUUGGUUCGGUUCGUGGCUAUGAACCUUCCAACGGGCAAAUUGAGAGUGCAAGAGGUUGAAUUUGAGCACGAACCCAAAUUCUGUGCAAAUUGUAAGAUGUUUGGACACGUUACUAUAGCAUGUAAUGUCAUAAAACAGCCUAUUAUACUGAGGCCGAGACAGGUUGGGAAUUCGGCAAACGCAGGGAAAUCGACACAGGUUGCUGACAUUGCCCCGAAACAGGCAGUUUUGGAAGCACAUGCUGGUUCUAAUCAGACAGGUGUGGUACAUGUAUAGCAGAAAGAGCAAGGUGAUGCGUUGUUUAUACGGGUUGUUGGUAAAAAGAAAGGUGCAAAAACUAGUCAUACAUCUUCAGGCAGAUUGUAGACUGUUCAGCAGCUAACGUUGGCAUUAACAUAUUGAGGACUGGAGGUCUUGCUAAUGUGCAGGGGGUUACUUCAAAGGAUAUUGAUACUAGUAGUGUUUAUUUGGGUAGUGUUUAUUCGGAAAAACCAAAUAAUGAGAAAAUCAAAGGAAAGGAGGACGAGAAGAGUAAGUUACGCUAAGGUUAGAAAGAAGGGUAUUUCCCUUCCUUCAUCAUCAUGAAGAUUGGUACUUGGAACAUAAGGGGCUUGAAGCGUUCCCUUAAGCAAAACGGGAUUCGAAGUUUAUGAAUCAACACUAUAUUGAUGUUAUGGGUAUAUUGGAAACUAAGUUGGGAAUGUCGAAGCUAGACUGAAUCAUGCGGAAUAAAUUUGGCAACCUAUUGCAAAUGAACAACUUUCCAUCACAUCAUGCUUGACGAAUUUUGGUGUUAUGGAACUCUUUAAAAGUUGACUUGGAAAUGUGGGAGACUACGUCACAAGUCAUCCACUGUAUUGUUACUUGUAAGGUAACAUCUCUUAAAUUUCUUGUUAGUUUUGUCUAUGGUCCUCGUACAAUUGUAAGUUGUAGAUCUCUUUGGGAUAAGUUCGCAAAGGUUGGAUUGGAUUGUUCUAUGCCUUGGCUGAUUAUGGGUAACUUCAACAAUGUACUCAAUUUUGAUGAGAAAUGUAAUGGAGUCGAUGUGACUCCAUAUGAGGUUAAAGACUUUAUUAAUUGUUGCCUCAAUGUAGGACUUACGGAUAUGAGAUCCAUUGGGUGUUUUUACACCUGAUCCAACAACUCUAUGUGGAGUAAACUUGAUAGAGCUAUGGUUAAUGAUGUUUGGAUGCAAAUGGGGUUUUCUAGUUUUGCGGAUUUCCUACCUUCGGGAUGCCUAUCUGACCAUUCACCUUGCAUUGUUUCUACUUUUGCAUGUGAUGAGCACAAAAGAAAACCUUUUAGAUUCUUCAACAUGUGGACUAAACAUGAGAACUUUUAUGGUAUUGUACAUAGUGUUUGGAAUCUUGAGAUUCGGGGAACUAAGCAAUUUUCUCUUUGCAAAAAAUUGCAACGCCUUAAAGAAGUACUGAAAGAGCUUAAUGUCAAACAUUUUGGGCACAUAUCUACUAGAGCUGAGAUAGCCACUAAAGUUUUAAAAGAAACCUAGCUGGUUUUACAUGAUGAUCCCACAAAUCGUCAUUUGCAAAAUGAGGUUGCACGUUUGAGGAAAGAAGCUAUGAAUCUUUGUGAAGCGGAGAGAAGUUUUUACUUCCAAUAAGAAAAGUGUGCAUAUUUGAAUAAUAGUGAUAAAUGUACAAAGUUUUUCCACUCUAUGGUGAAGAGAAAUACCAAAAGAAACUUCAAUGCUGCUAUGCUAAAAAGGGAUGGCUCAUAGACCUCAUCAUAAAAAGAAGUGGCCGAUGAAUUCGCUCAUGUUUUUAGUGAGUUACUGGGAAAAGAUAGCAUUGGACUGCCUUUUGAAGCUGAAAUUCUAGAGUUUGGACCUUCUUUGACAGAGGAACAUGCUACUUCACUUGUUCGGGAUGUUUCUAGGCAAGAAAUAAAGGAUGCAUUGUUUAGCAUUGGUGAUAACAAGUCUCCGGGGGCAGAUGGUUAUACAUCUUAUUUCUUUAAAGAGGCUUGGAAUAUUGUUGGUGAUGAAUUUUUAGGAGCUAUUGGUGAGUUCUUUGCUUCUAGGUCCCUCUUUAAGCAAACAAAUCAUAUUGUUAUUGCCUUGGUCCCUAAAGCCAAUCAUUCUUCAUCGGUGGAUGGCUAUAGACCAAUCGCUUGUUGCAAUGUUUUCUAUCAAGUCAUCACUAAGAUACUUGCUUCUCGGUUGGGUUCGACUCUUGAGUCCAUUAAGAGCUUUUGAUAAAGCUCAGGCCGCUUCUGUGGUAUCAAGAGCUUUUGAGACAUUACAAUCAAAAGAGGGUUUCACCGCAGUGCCUUCUUAAAAUUGAUUUAAAGAAGGCCUAUGACUAGGUGAAAUGGAAUUUUCUCAAGAAUGUGCUCGUGGGAUUGAAGUUCCCUACUACUUUCAUUGUUUGGGUUAUGGAAUGUGUUACAUCACUUACGUACUCCAUUGCUCUCAAUGGUGGCCUACAUGGUUUUUUUAAAGGAAAAAAAGGGCUUCGGCAAGGGGUUCAUGGCCAAGAGAUGGAGGAAAUUAUUGAGAUUGCUAACAUCCCCAAAGGUUCUAUGCCUUUUCGCUACUUGGGUAUUCCUCUUGCAGCGUAAAAGUUGAAAAUCAGCACUUAUGAUGCAUUUAUCAACAAAAUCACAGCUUAUAUUGGUGCUUGGUCGAGGGCAUCCUUAUCUUAUGCUGGAAGAAUGGAGCUUGUGAGGUCCUUGCUUCAAGGGGUUGUAUGUUUUUGGUUAUCCAUCUUUCCUAUUCCAGCAACGGUUGCCUAUAGAGUCAUUUCUCUUUGCCAAAACUUUCUUUGGAGAUCUAAUAAACCAUUGGUUGAAUGGAGCAAUAUAUGCCUACCAAAGUAUGAAGGUGGACUUGGGCUUAGGGACAUCAAAAGUUGGAACUCUGCACUACUUGCAAAGACACUUUGGAAUAUUCAUUGUAAGAAAGACACCUUGUGGAUUAAAUGGGUCAAUCCAGUUUACCUUCGUGGGAGUUGUAUUUGGACAUACAAGCCGAGAAAAGAGGACUCCACUGUUUUCAAAAAGGACAUUAGGGACAACAUUAAUCAGGCAGUAAACAAUGUCCAGGUGGCCGACAAAGAUCUGUCCAACUUAACAGGAAAUGGAAGACAGGUUGCUGUCCAGAAUCUGACCAGCUGGAUAGUUAAUGGCAGAUUCAAUAUUGCAUAUGCAUAUGAUUAUUUCAGGCCGAAAGGAACAAAGGUAAUCUAGGAUACCUCCAUUUGGAAUGCAUAUGUGACGCCGAAACACGCUUUUAUCAUGUGGUUAGCAGCUAAAUCUACACUGCUAACUAAGGACAGAUUGCAUUAUUUACAGAUUGAACUUAUGGAUGA
Olea europaea var. sylvestris is the source of this 4809-nucleotide long non-coding RNA. RefSeq lists it as uncharacterized. The record is from RefSeq and is a predicted model, not a curated record. The transcript is spliced from 2 exons. Lineage: Eukaryota; Viridiplantae; Streptophyta; Magnoliopsida; Lamiales; Oleaceae.